This 378-nucleotide ribosomal RNA is filed under the name uncultured bacterium. Its description in RNAcentral is "bacterial SSU rRNA". It matches the Rfam family "Bacterial small subunit ribosomal RNA", at positions 28 to 407 of the family's 1533-position model. The record is from RNAcentral.
GACGAACGCUGGCGGCGUGCUUAACACAUGCAAGUCGAGCGGUAAGGCCCUUUCGGGGGUACACGAGCGGCGAACGGGUGAGUAACACGUGGGUGACCUGCCCUCAGCUCUGGGAUAAGCCUGGGAAACUGGGUCUAAUACUGGAUAUGACUCCACGGUGCAUGUCGUGGGGUGGAAAGCCUUGUGCGGCUGAGGAUGGGCCCGCGGCCUAUCAGCUUGUUGGUGGGGUGAUGGCCUACCAAGGCGACGACGGGUAGCCGGCCUGAGAGGGCGACCGGCCACACUGGGACUGAGACACGGCCCAGACUCCUACGGGAGGCAGCAGUGGGGAAUCUUGCGCAAUGGGCGAAAGCCUGACGCAGCGACGCCGCGUGAGGG